Molecule: ribosomal RNA, 1454 nt
Filed under: uncultured organism
Description: partial small subunit ribosomal RNA
Rfam family: Bacterial small subunit ribosomal RNA
Source: RNAcentral
GACGAACGCUUUUGGCGUGCUUAACACAUGCAAGUCGAACGGAAAGGCCCUGCUUUUGUGGGGUGCUCGAGUGGCGAACGGGUGAGUAACACGUGAGUAACCUGCCCUUGACUUUGGGAUAACUUCAGGAAACUGGGGCUAAUACCGGAUAGGAGCUCCUGCUGCAUGGUGGGGGUUGGAAAGUUUCGGCGGUUGGGGAUGGACUCGCGGCUUAUCAGCUUGUUGGUGGGGUAGUGGCUUACCAAGGCUUUGACGGGUAGCCGGCCUGAGAGGGUGACCGGCCACAUUGGGACUGAGAUACGGCCCAGACUCCUACGGGAGGCAGCAGUGGGGAAUAUUGCACAAUGGGCGGAAGCCUGAUGCAGCAACGCCGCGUGCGGGAUGACGGCCUUCGGGUUGUAAACCGCUUUCGCCUGUGACGAAGCGUGAGUGACGGUAAUGGGUAAAGAAGCACCGGCUAACUACGUGCCAGCAGCCGCGGUGAUACGUAGGGUGCGAGCGUUGUCCGGAUUUAUUGGGCGUAAAGGGCUCGUAGGUGGUUGAUCGCGUCGGAAGUGUAAUCUUGGGGCUUAACCCUGAGCGUGCUUUCGAUACGGGUUGACUUGAGGAAGGUAGGGGAGAAUGGAAUUCCUGGUGGAGCGGUGGAAUGCGCAGAUAUCAGGAGGAACACCAGUGGCGAAGGCGGUUCUCUGGGCCUUUCCUGACGCUGAGGAGCGAAAGCGUGGGGAGCGAACAGGCUUAGAUACCCUGGUAGUCCACGCUGUAAACGGUGGGUACUAGGUGUGGGGUCCAUUCCACGGGUUCCGUGCCGUAGCUAACGCUUUAAGUACCCCGCCUGGGGAGUACGGCCGCAAGGCUAAAACUCAAAGGAAUUGACGGGGCCCCGCACAAGCGGCGGAGCAUGCGGAUUAAUUCGAUGCAACGCGUAGAACCUUACCUGGGUUUGACAUGGAUCGGGAGUGCUCAGAGAUGGGUGUGCCUCUUUUGGGGUCGGUUCACAGGUGGUGCAUGGCUGUCGUCAGCUCGUGUCGUGAGAUGUUGGGUUAAGUCCCGCAACGAGCGCAACCCUUGUUCACUGUUGCCAGCACGUUAUGGUGGGGACUCAGUGGAGACCGCCGGGGUCAACUCGGAGGAAGGUGGGGAUGACGUCAAGUCAUCAUGCCCCUUAUGUCCAGGGCUUCACGCAUGCUACAAUGGCUGGUACAGAGAGUGGCGAGCCUGUGAGGGUGAGCGAAUCUCGGAAAGCCGGUCUCAGUUCGGAUUGGGGUCUGCAACUCGACCUCAUGAAGUCGGAGUCGCUAGUAAUCGCAGAUCAGCAACGCUGCGGUGAAUACGUUCCCGGGGCUUGUACACACCGCCCGUCAAGUCAUGAAAGUUGGUAACACCCGAAGCCGGUGGCCUAACCGUUGUGGGGGAGCCGUCGAAGGUGGGACUGGUGAUUAGGACUAAGUCAU